CAGCUGAUCCCAGCACCCUAAUCACUCACCUGCCUGCCAUCAACUCAUCACAUGCAGCCUACAAAUGUUUGGACUUCACUCCGCGCGAUUUCCAGAUUGUUUCACCUUUCUACAUGUGUUCCCCACCUGCCAUGUGUGCCUGCCUCAGCCUGCUAGCCUCAGUGUGCUCUCCUGGACUGCAAAGCCAAGGACUACAAGCUCCUUCCUUUCCCUCAGUUUCUCAUCGGGAUAUCCAUCGAUGUCGGUGUCCUUCCCACAUAAGUACCCGUUUCCAGCCCAGCCGAUUCCACACUGAGAGAUCAAAACAGG
Long non-coding RNA from Nerophis ophidion (straightnose pipefish), 309 nucleotides. RefSeq lists it as uncharacterized. NCBI's taxonomy places the organism in Eukaryota, Metazoa, Chordata, Actinopteri, Syngnathiformes, Syngnathidae. The transcript has 3 exons. The record is from RefSeq and is a predicted model, not a curated record.